This 492-nucleotide ribosomal RNA is filed under the name uncultured bacterium. Its description in RNAcentral is "partial 16S ribosomal RNA". It matches the Rfam family "Bacterial small subunit ribosomal RNA", at positions 29 to 507 of the family's 1533-position model. The record is from RNAcentral.
AGUGAACGCUGGCGGUAGGCCUAACACAUGCAAGUCGAACGGCAGCACAGUUAGAUCUUGCUCUUACGGGUGGCGAGUGGCGGACGGGUGAGGAAUACAUCGGAAUCUACUUUUUCGUGGGGGAUAACGUAGGGAAACUUACGCUAAUACCGCAUUCGACCUACGGGUGAAAGCAGGGGAUCUUCGGACCUUGCGCGAUUGCAUGAGCCGAUGUCGGAUUAGCUAGUUGGCGGGGUAAAGGCCCACCAAGGCGACGAUCCGUAGCUGGUCUGAGAGGAUGAUCAGCCACACUGGGACUGAGACACGGUCCAGACUCCUACGGGAGGCAGCAGUGGGGAAUAUUGGACAAUGGGCGCAAGCCUGAUCCAGCCAUACCGCGUGUGUGAAGAAGGCCUUCGGGUUGUAAAGCCCUUUUGUUGGGAAAGAAAAGCAGCAGGUUAAUACCGCGCUGUUCUGACGGUACCCAAAGAAUAAGCACCGGCUAACUUCGUG